GUCCACGCCCUAAACGAUGUCGACUGGUUGUUGGGGGUUUGACACUCUCAGUAACGAAGCUAACGCGUGAAGUCGACCGCCUGGGGAGUACGGCCGCAAGGUUAAAACUCAAAGGAAUUGACGGGGACCCGCACAAGCGGUGGAUUAUGUGGAUCAAUUCGAUGCAACGCGAAAAACCUUACCUACCCUUGACAUGUCCGAGAGCCCGAAGAGAUUUGGGUGUGCCCGAAAGGGAAUCGGAACACAGGUGCUGCAUGGCUGUCGU
This 265-nucleotide ribosomal RNA is filed under the name uncultured bacterium. Its description in RNAcentral is "partial 16S ribosomal RNA". It matches the Rfam family "Bacterial small subunit ribosomal RNA", at positions 793 to 1055 of the family's 1533-position model. The record is from RNAcentral.